This 369-nucleotide ribosomal RNA is filed under the name Triticum aestivum (bread wheat). Its description in RNAcentral is "partial small subunit ribosomal RNA". Lineage: Eukaryota; Viridiplantae; Streptophyta; Magnoliopsida; Poales; Poaceae. The record is from RNAcentral.
AUGACACCCGGAGGGGACGAAGCCGCAGCAAGUGCUGUGAAAGAAAAGGAAACAAGUGUCAAUGUUGGUUGUGAACAUAGGAUCUCACACUUGUAUGGAAUGGUAGUAAGAACUAUACCAAUUGUUGAGAAAAAUGAUUUAUCACCCCAUUCAGCAACAAAAACCAAAACAAAUGUGCUAGCAAGAGUACUGGCGACAGACACUAAUCCUGCACCAUUUCCAGAAAACUUCGAAACUGCUAGCUCAGCCUGCCAUUUUUCAGUAUAUAGUGUUAUAAAGCAGUUUCACUAUCAGACAGAAAGAGGGCCAAGCACAAGAAUAUCAUCAACUGCACCAAGCAACUGCAAAGGCUAUCAAUUAGAUAUGUAA